GUUAUAAUUCUAGCCUAUAAAUAAACAAACACCUACCAAAACCCCUAAAUAAACCAUUUAAUUAAAUAGUAUAGGCGAUAGAAAUUUAUCAUUGAGCAAUAGAAAAAGUACUGCAAAGGAAAGAUGAAAUAAAAAUGAAAUAAAUAACAAAAACAAAUAAAAGAAAAGACUAAAACUUGUACCUUUUGCAUAAUGGUCUAGCAAGUUAAACCUAACAAAAAGAAAUAAAGUUACCCCUCCCCGAAACUAGACGAGCUACUCAAAAGCAGCAUACUAGAGCCAACCCGUCUCUGUGGCAAAAGAGUGGGAUGACUUCUGAGUAGAGGUGAUAAGCCUAACGAGCCUAGUGAUAGCUGGUUGCUUGAGAAAUCGAAUUUUAGUUCAGCUUAAAGUGCCUUUAAAUAUGUAAAAAAAUUAAAAUAGCNACCUUAAAGUUACUUAAUAGAGGACAGCUCUAUUAAUAAAGGACACAACCUA
This 477-nucleotide ribosomal RNA is filed under the name Notophthalmus viridescens (eastern newt). RNAcentral's name for it is "partial 16S ribosomal RNA". The stretch from base 161 to 477 matches the Rfam family "Bacterial large subunit ribosomal RNA", at positions 568 to 1029 of the family's 2925-position model. The record is from RNAcentral. Lineage: Eukaryota; Metazoa; Chordata; Amphibia; Caudata; Salamandridae.